RNAcentral lists this ribosomal RNA (382 nucleotides) under uncultured eukaryote. Its description in RNAcentral is "partial 18S ribosomal RNA". It matches the Rfam family "Eukaryotic small subunit ribosomal RNA", at positions 592 to 976 of the family's 1831-position model. The record is from RNAcentral.
UGUAAGCGUAUACCAAAGUUGUUGCAGUUAAAACGCUCGUAGUCGGAAUUUGGCAGUUCCGGAUGUGUGCACGUCGUGUGCGCACUUCGCGGGGAUUGCUUUUGUGGUCUUGCGUAGGAUGAGGCACUUUUAUUAGUGAACGUCCUCACGCAACCACUUUUUACUGUGAGAAAAUCAGAGUGCUCAAAGCAGGCAUUUGCCGUGAAUGUAUUAGCAUGGAAUAAUAGAAUAGGACUCGGUUCUAUUUUGUUGGUUUGUUGGGACUGAGUAAUGAUUAAGAGGGACAGUUGGGGGCAUUUGUAUUCCGGCGCUAGAGGUGAAAUUCUUAGAUUGCCGGAAGACAAACUGCUGCGAAAGCGUCUGCCAAGGAUGUUUUCAUUGA